AUAAAAUUCUUCUUUUAUGUAAUUUUCUCUAUCUUCCAUUGGUGCGUAUGCAUUGAUCAAAGUAGUAUUAAAGAAUUUUGUUUUCAUUCAAAGCAUACAGAUCAAUUCAUUAAUUGCUCUAAAAUCAAGUAUAUUAUUUUUCACUGAAUUUUCGACUGUGAAUGCCACUCCAUACUCAUGUCCACCCUCUUUGUUUUCACUGUAUGUGUUUUCAUAUCCAUUAUUCCUGUACCAUGCCAUCUCAUUUCCUGAAUGGCUGUGAUUUGUGUGUUAAACUUCUUUAGUUGUGGUAAUGGACUUUUCAAGGCUCCUGUUUUGUAUAAAGUUCUUACAUUCCAUGAACCUAUUCAUAUAUCCAUUUACUGUUGCUAUGAUUGUUUCCGAGUUUUCCUUUCCUGGUUCCGAGGCUUAGCUUGAAGUUUCAUAACAAAUAUUUUUUUACGGAGUGAGGUUGUCAGCCUCACGCCCAACCCCCAGCAAUCCCGAUGGAGUGAUGUUUUUCUGUCAGGGCUGCCUCCCUUUGAAAGCAUCAGGAACUCGUUUGUUUGCCCUUGCAAGACUUAGCUGUAAAACGUUGCCCGGCAGUCAUGACUUGGACAUGCACGCAUCAGACUUGGUAGGAAUGAAUGGCAUUUCCCGAGUUUUUAAUGGUACAUAUCUGCCAGCAGGAUAUGUACCCUCGAGACCACAUACUACCCCUUUGGCUCCUGAGAAAGGUGCCUUUUCACCACAACGCUGAAUACCGAUGACAAAACUGAUAUUCUUCUGCAUGGCAUAAGCUUGGACAUCAUGACGCAGAUACUGGAUUAUGUUUCUUUAAGAAAUGUAGACAUCCACUGUGACAAUGUGUGUCAGCUGCUUGUGACUCCUGAUUACUUGUGUAUGCCAUGUGUUCUUGAACUCUGCUGAAACCUUGGACCUUGACAUUUGUAUUGGCAUCAUGCAUUUCGCAAGGUGUUAUUUCUGCACUGACCUUGAGUCUCAAGCUCAUCGAUUCACAUUAUGCCACUUCGAGGAAGUGCUUGAGAAGAGUGAGGAACUGCUAGAACUGCCUGCAGAAGAGUUGUAAGGGAUAAACGGGUCAGAGGAACUAAACGUAAAGGAUGAAGAAGUUGUGUGGGAGUGUAUACUUAAGUGGAUUGACCAUGACCCAGAAAACAGAAAAGGCCACAUUGCGGACCUGUUGAAGAAUGUUGGGCUAGGACUGCGUGACACACUUUCCUUCCAGGAAAAGGUAGCAGAUCACCCAUAUGUGAAGGAAGAUCAGCGGUGCAGACCCAUGAUCUUGGAGACGUUAACGUUCCUGUACGAUGUACAGAUGAUAAAAAUGAAACACAAGUAAUUCUUGAUGCCAAAGAUUGCCCACCCAUGAAUCCCACAGGACAUUCUGUUUGCUAUUGGAGGGCUUAGUGAUGGAAACCCAAUACAUUUGAUUGAAACUUAUGACAUGCAAGCAAACAGAUGGAUUAAGGUAAAAUAAUUGUUGGUGGAAUGAUAGUGAGAAUGAAUUGAACUCAGUAGAAGCAUAUGACCCAGAGACCAAUCAGUGGACACUCACUCAUUACACCAAUGCUUCUUGCACCUACUGGCAUAUCUUGCAUCGCCUUCCACAGCAGGUAAGAAUCUGAGAUAUUUUGAGUAAUAUUCCUUCACCCUUCUUACACAACUUGCUGUUGUGUAAUCAUAUUUUCCUAGUUUUCUUACAGUGCUUGCGAUUUGUGAGCAGUAUUUUUCUCAUGUUAUUGCAGAAUUAGUUUGUCAGUAUUUUUUCCUCUUAUAGUGAUUUGUGGGUUUGAUUACAUUCUCCACUAAGGUAACUAACAACAGCAGAUAAUCUACUGUUGUAUGUCCAAUAUUCACACAAUCCAAAGUUUAAAGGUAUAUAUUUUUAUAUUUGGAAACCUAAAUGGUCUCACGCCCUAAAUUUCGAUAGUAGAGCAACUAUCACAUCUUAAUAUGACUUGUGCAAUGAGUAACACCCUAAGAUGACAAACAGGAAGGUCUUGAUACAUAGCCGCUAGCGAUGAUUCAAGGUUUGUAGAUGUAACCUACGCAUUGUCACACUUUGUGCUUAAUGGAACAUGAGGAUUACUGAUGUAACCUCUGGUGAAAGCAUAAGUCACCCAAAUUAUUCACCAACCAUUCAAUUAUUCACCAUUCAGGUUUCACUCUUCCACCCCAGACCUUUGUACUACUUUUAAUUAGUAUAAAAAGAGGCAGAAAUUAGGCAGUAAUCGUCGAGACGAGCAGCUGGGUAGCCAACACCAACCAAGCAUGUUCUGCAUCAUAGUCGGCAUUUGCGAGUAUUGUCUGUGUUCCUGUCACUAAAAGCAUGAAUAGGAAGUCAGUAAAUACUUCUGGAUAAUUGUAUAGGACUUAGCACCAUGUGACUUCAUUUUGUUUCCAAAACUCAAAGCACCACUGAAAGGCUGUUAUUUUGAUGAUGUGGACACCAUUCAAAGGGCUGUAACAAGAGUACUGAACAGAAUUCCAGACACGGCCAUCCACCAUUCCUUCCAGUUGCUUCAUGAUCAUUGUGUGCAGUGUGUAGAUGCAGGAGGAAGCUACUUUGAAUAAACAAUGCUCAGAUUGCUUAUA
Molecule: non-coding RNA, 2598 nt
Organism: Zootermopsis nevadensis
Lineage: Eukaryota; Metazoa; Arthropoda; Insecta; Blattodea; Termopsidae
Source: RefSeq, a predicted model, not a curated record